Molecule: ribosomal RNA, 858 nt
Filed under: Acinetobacter sp. RKEM 528
Lineage: Bacteria; Pseudomonadati; Pseudomonadota; Gammaproteobacteria; Moraxellales; Moraxellaceae
Description: bacterial SSU rRNA
Rfam family: Bacterial small subunit ribosomal RNA
Source: RNAcentral
GGCUCAGAUUGAACGCUGGCGGCAGGCUUAACACAUGCAAGUCGAGCGGAGAGAGGUAGCUUGCUACUGAUCUUAGCGGCGGACGGGUGAGUAAUGCUUAGGAAUCUGCCUAUUAGUGGGGGACAACAUUUCGAAAGGAAUGCUAAUACCGCAUACGUCCUACGGGAGAAAGCAGGGGAUCUUCGGACCUUGCGCUAAUAGAUGAGCCUAAGUCGGAUUAGCUAGUUGGUGGGGUAAAGGCCUACCAAGGCGACGAUCUGUAGCGGGUCUGAGAGGAUGAUCCGCCACACUGGGACUGAGACACGGCCCAGACUCCUACGGGAGGCAGCAGUGGGGAAUAUUGGACAAUGGGCGCAAGCCUGAUCCAGCCAUGCCGCGUGUGUGAAGAAGGCCUUAUGGUUGUAAAGCACUUUAAGCGAGGAGGAGGCUACUUUAGUUAAUACCUAGAGAUAGUGGACGUUACUCGCAGAAUAAGCACCGGCUAACUCUGUGCCAGCAGCCGCGGUAAUACAGAGGGUGCAAGCGUUAAUCGGAUUUACUGGGCGUAAAGCGCGCGUAGGCGGCUAAUUAAGUCAAAUGUGAAAUCCCCGAGCUUAACUUGGGAAUUGCAUUCGAUACUGGUUAGCUAGAGUGUGGGAGAGGAUGGUAGAAUUCCAGGUGUAGCGGUGAAAUGCGUAGAGAUCUGGAGGAAUACCGAUGGCGAAGGCAGCCAUCUGGCCUAACACUGACGCUGAGGUGCGAAAGCAUGGGGAGCAAACAGGAUUAGAUACCCUGGUAGUCCAUGCCGUAAACGAUGUCUACUAGCCGUUGGGGCCUUUGAGGCUUUAGUGGCGCAGCUAACGCGAUAAGUAGACCGCC